RNAcentral lists this ribosomal RNA (812 nucleotides) under uncultured bacterium. RNAcentral describes it as "bacterial SSU rRNA". It matches the Rfam family "Bacterial small subunit ribosomal RNA", at positions 8 to 809 of the family's 1533-position model. The record is from RNAcentral.
AGAGUUUGAUCCUGGCUCAGGAUGAACGCUAGCUACAGGCUUAACACAUGCAAGUCGAGGGGCAGCAUGGGAUUAGCUUGCUAAUCCUGAUGGCGACCGGCGCACGGGUGAGUAACGCGUAUCCAACCUUCCCUAUAGUAGAGGAUAGCCCGGCGAAAGUCGGAUUAAUACUCUAUGUUAUUCAACGAGGACAUCUGAAAUGAAUCAAAGGCUUGCCGCUAUAGGAUGGGGAUGCGUCUGAUUAGGUUGUUGGCGGGGUAACGGCCCACCAAGCCAUCGAUCAGUAGGGGUUCUGAGAGGAAGGUCCCCCACAUUGGAACUGAGACACGGUCCAAACUCCUACGGGAGGCAGCAGUGAGGAAUAUUGGUCAAUGGGCGAGAGCCUGAACCAGCCAAGUAGCGUGCAGGAUGACGGCCCUAUGGGUUGUAAACUGCUUUUAUCGGGGGAUAAAGUGCGGGACGUGUCCCGUUUUGUAGGUACCCGAUGAAUAAGGACCGGCUAAUUCCGUGCCAGCAGCCGCGGUAAUACGGAAGGUCCGGGCGUUAUCCGGAUUUAUUGGGUUUAAAGGGAGCGCAGGCCGGAGGUCAAGCGUGACGUGAAAUGUAGCCGCUCAACGGCUGAACUGCGUCGCGAACUGGCUUUCUUGAGUGAGUUCGAUGUGGGCGGAAUUCGUGGUGUAGCGGUGAAAUGCUUAGAUAUCACGAAGAACUCCGAUUGCGAAGGCAGCCCACAAGGCCUUUACUGACGCUAAAGCUCGAAGGUGCGGGUAUCGAACAGGAUUAGAUACCCUGGUAGUCCGCACGGUAAACGA